AACGAACGCUGGCGGCGUGCCUAACACAUGCAAGUCGAACGGAGUUGAGGGGCUUGCUCCUCAAUUUAGUGGCGCACGGGUGAGUAACGCGUAGAUAAUCUGCCUGAUGAUUUGGGAUAACACUUCGAAAGGAGUGCUAAUACCGGAUAAGCCCACGACGGCCUUGGUCGUUGCGGGAAAAGGGGGGACCUUCGGGCCUUCUGUCAUCAGAUGAGUCUGCGUACCAUUAGCUAGUUGGUAGGGUAAUGGCCUACCAAGGCUACGAUGGUUAGCUGGUCUGAGAGGAUGAUCAGCCACACUGGAACUGAGACACGGUCCAGACUCCUACGGGAGGCAG
This 337-nucleotide ribosomal RNA is filed under the name uncultured Pseudomonadota bacterium. RNAcentral describes it as "bacterial SSU rRNA". It matches the Rfam family "Bacterial small subunit ribosomal RNA", at positions 29 to 351 of the family's 1533-position model. Lineage: Bacteria; Pseudomonadati; Pseudomonadota. The record is from RNAcentral.